CCAGGCCACUCCUGACCCUUCACGGUUUGGCCAGUGUGGUGUUUUCAAAUGCCCCUGCUUCAGUUUUGACACUGACCAGCGAUUUAAUAACAGCCUACAUCUACAAAACCAUAUCAAACAAGCAGUCGAGAAUAACGGAAAGUUCAGCGUGUUGAACGUGUGACUGAUGAAGGAGAUAGAAUGGGCAACGUCUCCUUUGAACAGAUGCCCCUUAUUCUCAUAGAUACAGUUCUGGAAGAGGGUGACAAAGCUUUUUUAAAGCUGUCACUGGUUUGUCGUCUCUUCCGGGACAUUGUUUGGACAACAAUCAUUCCGGGCCCGGGCACAUUUCGAGUGGCUUGACAGUGUAGUGCCAUGAAAACAUCACAGUGCUGCAUGUAAAGACGAGUUUCGCAGGAUGUACGAACUGCAGUGCUGCCAGAACUGUCAAGAAACUUAUAAAGACUGCAUACUGGGCUACGUUGGGCAUGGGAGACGAGGGGAGCUUGUGGCAUUUUACAGCGAAAACGAGCACCCUGGAUUCUGCAGCCAGCUUCAUGAGUGGCUGGGUGUGUGAGUGGCUGGGUGUGUGAGUGGCUGGGUGUGUGAGUGGCUGGGUGUGUGAGUGGCUGGGUGUGUGAGUGGCUGGGUGUGUGAGUGGCUGGGUGUGUGAGUGGCUGGGUGUUGCAUUUUUAAAUAAAGACUUCUGUAUUUGUUUGACCAAAGCAUGUAACCAAACAUUUUAAAGGCUAGUGUGCCAAUAAAUGCCAAUAAAGAUAUUGUAUUAGCUUGGACAAAGUGUUUGUAAAUGGAGUUAAUUUCCCUGGGAACUACUGUCAGCCAUACAAAAUUGGGAGAGGAGAAGCAGGAAAGGGAUAUUAUUAUUAUUAUUAUUAUUAUUAUUAUUAUUAUUAUUGACAAAAUAGCUAUGUAUACAUACAUUUUUAAUUUCUGAAACCACAGCAUUUGAUAUAUUGUACUCUAUCGUUAUACACUAUCCAGCAUACCAUUAUUACCACCUGCUUGUUUCUGCUUCUAUUAUUCUUUUUUUU
Astyanax mexicanus (Mexican tetra) is the source of this 1031-nucleotide long non-coding RNA. RefSeq lists it as uncharacterized. The record is from RefSeq and is a predicted model, not a curated record. The transcript is spliced from 5 exons. Lineage: Eukaryota; Metazoa; Chordata; Actinopteri; Characiformes; Acestrorhamphidae.